Molecule: ribosomal RNA, 467 nt
Filed under: Treponema sp. oral taxon 268
Lineage: Bacteria; Pseudomonadati; Spirochaetota; Spirochaetia; Treponematales; Treponemataceae
Description: bacterial SSU rRNA
Rfam family: Bacterial small subunit ribosomal RNA
Source: RNAcentral
AACGAACGCUGGCGGCGCGUCUUAACCAUGCAAGUCGAGCGGCAGGCAGCAAUGCCGAGAGCGGCGGACUGGUGAGUAACACGUGGAUAACGUACCCCGAUGCCCGGGACAGCCUGUAGAAAUAGAGGGUAAUACCGGAUAGAUCACUGACUACGGAAGGUAGACAGCGGGAAAGGAGCUUCGGCUCCGCGACGGGAUCGGUCUGCGGCCCAUCAAGCUCGUUGGUGAGGUAAGAGCUCACCAAGGCGAGGACGGGUAUCCGGCCUGAGAGGGCGGACGGACACAUUGGGACUGAGAUACGGCCCAGACUCCUACGGGAGGCAGCAGGUAAGAAUAUUCCGCAAUGGGGGGAACCCUGACGGAGCGACGCCGCGUGAACGAAGAAGGCCGGAAGGUUGUAAAGUUCUUUUCUGUCCGAGGAAUAAGUGUAGGAGGAAAUGCCUGCAUGGGACGUAGGGCAGAAUAGC